This 429-nucleotide ribosomal RNA is filed under the name Bacteroidota bacterium. RNAcentral's name for it is "Bacteroidetes bacterium partial 16S ribosomal RNA". It matches the Rfam family "Bacterial small subunit ribosomal RNA", at positions 355 to 776 of the family's 1533-position model. The record is from RNAcentral. Lineage: Bacteria; Pseudomonadati; Bacteroidota.
UAGGGAAUCUUCCGCAAUGGACGCAAGUCUGACGGAGCGACGCCGCGUGAGUGAAGAAGGAUUUCGGUUCGUAAAACUCUGUUGUUAGAGAAGAACAGCGCAUAGAGUAACUGUUAUGCGUGUGACGGUAUCUAACCAGAAAGCCACGGCUAACUACGUGCCAGCAGCCGCGGUAAUACGUAGGUGGCAAGCGUUGUCCGGAUUUAUUGGGCGUAAAGCGAGCGCAGGCGGUCAAUUAAGUCUGAUGUGAAAGCCCCCGGCUCAACCGGGGAGGGUCAUUGGAAACUGGUUGACUUGAGUGCAGAAGAGGAGAGUGGAAUUCCAUGUGUAGCGGUGAAAUGCGUAGAUAUAUGGAGGAACACCAGUGGCGAAGGCGACUCUCUGGUCUGUAACUGACGCUGAGGUUCGAAAGCGUGGGUAGCAAACAGG